This 468-nucleotide ribosomal RNA is filed under the name uncultured bacterium. RNAcentral's name for it is "partial 16S ribosomal RNA". It matches the Rfam family "Bacterial small subunit ribosomal RNA", at positions 28 to 507 of the family's 1533-position model. The record is from RNAcentral.
GACGAACGCUGGCGGCGUGCUUAACACAUGCAAGUCGAACGGAAAGGCCCUGCUUUUGUGGGGUGCUCGAGUGGCGAACGGGUGAGUAACACGUGAGUAACCUGCCCUUGACUUUGGGAUAACUUCAGGAAACUGGGGCUAAUAUCGGAUAGGAGCUCCUGCUGCAUGGUGGGGGUUGGAAAGUUUCGGCGGUUGGGGAUGGACUCGCGGCUUAUCAGCUUGUUGGUGGGGUAGUGGCUUACCAAGGCUUUGACGGGUAGCCGGCCUGAGAGGGUGACCGGCGACAUUGGGACUGAGAUACGGCCCAGACUCCUACGGGAGGCAGCAGUGGGGAAUAUUGCACAAUGGGCGGAAGCCUGAUGCAGCAACGCCGCGUGCGGGAUGACGGCCUUCGGGUUGUAAACCGCUUUCGCCUGUGACGAAGCGUGAGUGACGGUAAUGGGUAAAGAAGCACCGGCUAACUACGUG